This is a long non-coding RNA of Bos taurus (domestic cattle), 1781 nucleotides long. Lineage: Eukaryota; Metazoa; Chordata; Mammalia; Artiodactyla; Bovidae. The record is from Ensembl.
GUUAGUGGGAGGGGGGCGACUCGACCCCGAGGUGAUGCCGAGGUCGAGAGAUGGAGUCCGGCGUCCCAGGCUUUCAGGAAACUUCUGGAGUCCUGGACUUUCCCCUGUGUCAUUUGGGGCUGAGCCCCACGCUCACAGGCCGGUUGCCCCGAAGACGGGGCACGAAAAAGCAGUCACCCCGCCCGAGGCUUGGGGUCAGACCGGGUCUCGAGGCCUCCAGGCUGCCUCUAAUGCAUGCAGCGGGCUGGGACCCCCAGGAGAUCUUAAGGUGCCCCCUAGGGGACUGGUGGGAAGUCCCCUUCUGGAUCAGCCCUUCCUAGAGAGCUCACGGCUCCACCAGUGGUGACAAACGGAGGGGACCCAGCACAGAGAGGGGAAGGAGACGUGGGCGUGGAACCGGCUGGAGGUCUCCUCGGGACCUCACACUCUCCCCACCGUGUCCCCGACACCAGUCCAUGGACCCGCAGCCCAGCCAAAUGCCCAGCCUCUCCUCGCAGACCCUGGUCCUGCCUCCAUUCCCCAAGAGGAUGCCCUCCUACCACCCACCCACCCGCAACAACACCUGGACCCCGGGACCCCCGAAAGACAAGAGUGAGCACCCAUCUUUCUGUACAGAGUCCUGCAGGGCGGCUGCUGGGCCACCUGACCCGGCACAGCCUCAGCCUCCCUCCCCGCCCCCAUCACUGCCACAGCCUGACAUCUGUGUGCAGCUCCGCCCAGAGGGCAGGGUCCAUCCACCGCAGGGCCCUUGCACUCGCUGUUCUUUCUGCCUGGGAAGUCUUGGCCCCAGACCAUCCCUGGGGUGCUGUCUUUCGCAUGUGGCCCCUCUCAGCUGUUGCCUCCUCUGAGAACUCAGUCUCUGCUGACCUCCCCGUCACUCAGCCCCACAGUGCCUCAAGCUCUGCCAGAAAGUCCCCCUGGGCAGCUGGUCCAGGCCUGCCAUAAGAACCGCAGAGCUGGGGCUCCUGGUCCUUGGUGCCUUCGGGCAGGGAGCAGCGGGAAGACCGUGUUGUCGGGAGAGGCAACAUCUGGCUGUAUUCCAGCUGGGAAGUCCUGGGAGCCCUCCACUGCAGUGAGAGCUGGCCACCCACUAAGGCAGCCCAUUUCCCAUAGCACUGUGGGACUUUAGGGUCCAUUUCAACUAUUGAUUUUCCUUUUAAUGUUUAUCUUGACCUCACCAGAGCACCUGCAUCCCGCAGGUUUCAUAGGCUUCCUCCCCUCCUGUCCCAAGUCUCAGGGGGGUUUGCCCCCAAUGCCGUUUGUGUGGAGCCGUGGGUAUGGCUUGUGGGCUCCCAGGCUGGGGUCCCUCUCACCUCCAUGUUCCUGGCAUCAGUGUGGGACCCUGAGGAGGAGGAUCCCGGAGUUUGACUGCCCAGAUGUCCGCUGAACACCGGCCUCUUGCGAGGCACUUACGCCGUCUGUCCAGCCAAGCCCGCACCUUGCCCUGCAGCAGAGGGACUGCCACCCUCAUUCUGCAGAUUUCCAAUAACACAGUCAAGUUGCUUAAAUGAUCCUGCACCCAGGUCCUCACCGUGGGCUCUGCUGUUCCGAAUAUGAAGACGAAGCCAGACUUGGAGAACAGGGCCUUGAGGGUUUGUGUCUCUCGUUCCCAGAUUUCCAAUAACACAGUCAAGUUGCUUAAAUGAUAAGACAUUUUUGGGGGGAGAAAAAUUAAUGUUUUAUUUCUGUUUACAGUGAUAUAAUAUACUACUUAGUAUAAAUUAUAAAUAACUUAUGAGAAAAGAGAAGACAUCCCUUAUAUCCAGAAAAUAAAACAUUAA